CUGGCUCAGGAUGAACGCUGGCGGCGUGCCUAACACAUGCAAGUCGAACGAAGUUACUUGCUUAGAUCUCUUCGGAGUGACGAGCUUUUAACUUAGUGGCGGACGGGUGAGUAACACGUGAGCAACCUGCCUUUCAGAGGGGGAUAACGGCUGGAAACGGUCGCUAAUACCGCAUGACAUAUUGAAUCGGCAUCGGUUUAAUAUCAAAGGAGCAAUCCGCUGAAAGAUGGGCUCGCGUCGGAUUAGAUAGUUGGUGGGGUAACGGCCUACCAAGUCGACGAUCAGUAGCCGGACUGAGAGGUUGAACGGCCACAUUGGGACUGAGAUACGGCCCAGACUCCUACGGGAGGCAGCAGUGGGGAAUAUUGCACAAUGGGGGAAACCCUGAUGCAGCAACGCCGCGUGAAGGAAGACGGUUUUCGGAUUGUAAACUUCUUUUCUUAGUGAAGAAGCAAGUGACGGUAGCUAAGGAAUAAGCAUCGGCUAACUACGUGCCAGCAGCCGCGGUAAUACGUAGGAUGCGAGCGUUAUCCGGAAUUACUGGGUGUAAAGGGAGCGCAGGCGGGACUGCAAGUUGGAUGUGAAAUACCGCAGCUUAACUGCGGAGCUGCAUCCAAAACUGUAGUUCUUGAGUGGAGUAGAGGCAAGCGGAAUUCCGAGUGUAGCGGUGAAAUGCGUAGAUAUUCGGAGGAACACCAGUGGCGAAGGCGGCUUGCUGGGCUCUAACUGACGCUGAGGCUCGAAAGUGUGGGGAGCAAACAGGAUUAGAUACCCUGGUAGUCCACACUGUAAACGAUGAUAGCUAGGUGUGGGGGGUCUGACCCCUUCCGUGCCGGAGUUAACGCAAUAAGCUAUCCACCUGGGGAGUACGGCCGCAAGGUUGCAACUCAAAUGAAUUGACGGA
This 904-nucleotide ribosomal RNA is filed under the name uncultured Bacillota bacterium. RNAcentral's name for it is "bacterial SSU rRNA". It matches the Rfam family "Bacterial small subunit ribosomal RNA", at positions 19 to 917 of the family's 1533-position model. Lineage: Bacteria; Bacillati; Bacillota. The record is from RNAcentral.